GGGAAGCCAGUCACAGAUUGUGAGCACGCUCAAGAAGCCACACAGGCAAGUGUGUGUGGUGAUGAACUGAGGCCUCCUGCCGAUAGCCAGAUGAGCCAACUUAGAAGCAGAUCAUUCAGCCCCAGUCAAGCCUUGGACUAAUGGCAGCCCCAGCUGACAUCUUGACUACAGUCUCAUGAGUCACCUGGAGCCAGACCACCCAAUCAAGCAUCUUCUGAAUUCCUGAUCAACAAAUAUCGUGAGCUGGAUGAAACCAGAGUGACAUCAGAGACCAUGAUGGUGGAGCUUUGAGAUGGAAUCAGGCUGCUUUGAACAGGGUACCUCAUCUGUAUCCAUCUUUGAGAGGAUUGCCCUGAGGUUACACAUUUCACCUCGAGAGGCAGCCCAUGACUGACUGAUAUGGGGGUACAAAAGGCCAGCUGCUGGCUUUAAAGUGGGACCGAAGUUAUGCUGCACUUCAUCCUCCAGAACAACCCCGGGGAUCAGGCUGAGGCUUGUCUCCAGUGGGGACGACGCCCAAGUUUAGCUUCUUCCUUGCCCCAUCCUGCUCCCUCCAUUCCCCUUCUCCCAAGACUUUCCUUCAAUAAAUUGUGUGCCUUUGAAUUUCUGUUUCAGGGUCCGCUUCUAGGGAUACCUGCCUAAGUGACAUUUUGCUGAUUAAUACUUGCAUCUUAGAAAUUCUGUGGGUCCUACCUUUUUAUAUCUGUUUCUUUCAUGACUUUGGGAUCUUUCAUUCCAACAAGGGGGAUCCAAUAUGGUGAAUUUAUUAAGACUCUUUAGGAAUAAUGGAACCACUGCUCUACAGGGUAAAUUCAUAUAGAGCAGAAAGGUUUUCUCGUGUUAAGGAAGAUUUUAAUUUAUUAUCCACUGAUAAAAAUUUGUACUUUAACAAUUGAGUUAGAAAAAACCUCAAUUGUUCCUUUAUUUUUUUCCUUUUAGCCCAUCUCCUUUUCCUCUUCCUCCUUCUCUUUUUCCUCUUUCUCUCCUUCAUGUUCACUAUUACUUUUUUGCUCUGAUACUCAUCUCAAAAAUUUCAGCUCCUUGAGUCAUUACAGUAUGUAUCUCUUCUCAGAGGAGCUCUGUAUUCACUUCUUGUCCUUCAAACAACGAUCUCAAUUUCAUCCGUCUUAAGAAAGAAGCCCCUCCUCUUCCUGCUUCACUCCACCAUGCUGCUGAAAAGGCACUUGCAAUAAUACUUCAUCAAACACUUUCUAGACUGGUGGCAAAUUUUUCUUUGUGAAAUACUGGAGCAAGUCUUGGAGUAUCUCCCAGAACAGUAAGAGCUUAUAAGAUAUCCAGUGAAAUUAUAAUAGCUGGAGGCUGAGAAAAAUAAUAACUUAUUUGGUGAUUACAUCAUGUUUCUAUUUUUUCCCCUAUAGAUUACUAGAGCUACAACUUUUCCAUUUUUUUCCAGCACACUUAAUUUGAGCUAUCAAAGCUCCUUAUAGUCACCUUCUUAUUCUUUCUUUCUUUCUGUCUUUGUAAGAAAAAUAUAAGAAAAGGGGAAUUAAAUUGAAUCUUUUUAUCUCACCUUAUGAUCAAGAAUCUGUCCUACAAAUUGAACAUGAAAUAAGAUCCAAAGGUUGCUUAAAGGUAGUAGGACUAGCAGGAUUCCUAGAGUCCAAUUUUAUCCUUUGAUAUAAAUCUCAGGAGAUUUUAUUUUAUUUUAUUUUAUUUAUUUAUUUUUUUGCGGUACGCGUGCCUCUCACUGU
This is a long non-coding RNA of Aethalodelphis obliquidens (Pacific white-sided dolphin), 1712 nucleotides long. RefSeq lists it as uncharacterized. The record is from RefSeq and is a predicted model, not a curated record. The transcript is spliced from 3 exons. NCBI's taxonomy places the organism in Eukaryota, Metazoa, Chordata, Mammalia, Artiodactyla, Delphinidae.